Nicotiana attenuata is the source of this 614-nucleotide long non-coding RNA. RefSeq lists it as uncharacterized. Lineage: Eukaryota; Viridiplantae; Streptophyta; Magnoliopsida; Solanales; Solanaceae. The record is from RefSeq and is a predicted model, not a curated record. The transcript is spliced from 2 exons.
AUGGUGUCACCAUGGAGCAUCCUUUUCUUUUUUUGCAUCAGGUCAUAUUUUGUUGGGCCUAAAGGGUUGCACUUGCACUAUCCAUCUUUAUGACUCGUGUCGGAUUCUGAAGUAAUUUGCCAUUUAUUGAUUCUUUAUGGAUAGCGACAAGAUCUGGAGCUUGGCUCUUUCUCUGGGGAUGAUAACUGCUGACAGACUUUGUAUGUGUCCAAGAACUUUUGACAAUAUUUUACUAUUGAAGAGGAGCGUUGGAGCAAUGGUAAAGUUGUCUUUGUAUGACCUAUAGGGCACGGGUUCGAGCCGUGGAAGAAGCCACUAAUGCUUGCGUUAGGGUAGGUUGUCUACAUCACACCCCUAGGGUGCGGCCCUUCCUCGAACCCUGCGUGAAUGCGGGAUACUUUGUGUACCGAGCUGUACAAUGGAUGUACUUUGCAUUGAAAGACUGCAUUCCAUUCUUUUACAACUCUAUUGUAAGUACAAAAAUCAGGCAUGCAAUAAGAAAUCCCUGUCUGGAUAUGUUGCUUGUUUUUGUAAUUACAUAUAGUAUUAUUAUUUGUAUAUUAUGCAAUUCCAACUUUGUUUAGUAUGAAAUUUGAGUACACUGCAUUUCGGUU